RNAcentral lists this ribosomal RNA (487 nucleotides) under uncultured bacterium. RNAcentral describes it as "partial 16S ribosomal RNA". It matches the Rfam family "Bacterial small subunit ribosomal RNA", at positions 33 to 507 of the family's 1533-position model. The record is from RNAcentral.
ACGCUGGCGGUAGGCCUAACACAUGCAAGUCGAACGGCAGCACAGUAAGAGCUUGCUCUUACGGGUGGCGAGUGGCGGACGGGUGAGGAAUACAUCGGAAUCUACUUUUUCGUGGGGGAUAACGUAGGGAAACUUACGCUAAUACCGCAUACGACCUACGGGUGAAAGCAGGGGAUCUUCGGACCUUGCGCGAUUGAAUGAGCCGAUGUCGGAUUAGCUAGUUGGCGGGGUAAAGGCCCACCAAGGCGACGAUCCGUAGCUGGUCUGAGAGGAUGAUCAGCCACACUGGAACUGAGACACGGUCCAGACUCCUACGGGAGGCAGCAGUGGGGAAUAUUGGACAAUGGGCGCAAGCCUGAUCCAGCCAUACCGCGUGGGUGAAGAAGGCCUUCGGGUUGUAAAGCCCUUUUGUUGGGAAAGAAAAGCAGCAGGUUAAUACCCCGCUGUUCUGACGGUACCCAAAGAAUAAGCACCGGCUAACUUCGUG